UACGAAGGGGGCUAGCGUUGCUCGGAAUCACUGGGCGUAAAGCGCACGUAGGCGGAUUGUUAAGUCAGGGGUGAAAUCCUGGAGCUCAACUCCAGAACUGCCUUUGAUACUGGCGAGCUCGAGUCCGGGAGAGGUGAGUGGAACUGCGAGUGUAGAGGUGAAAUUCGUAGAUAUUCGGAAGAACACCAGUGGCGAAGGCGGCUCACUGGCCCGGUACUGACGCUGAGGUGCGAAAGCGUGGGGAGCAAACAGG
This 253-nucleotide ribosomal RNA is filed under the name uncultured bacterium. Its description in RNAcentral is "partial 16S ribosomal RNA". It matches the Rfam family "Bacterial small subunit ribosomal RNA", at positions 524 to 776 of the family's 1533-position model. The record is from RNAcentral.